GGCUCUUGUUGAUCCCAGAACAGUUGAAAGGACUGAGCUUAGCAAAUGGAAAUAGUAACACACUUCUACAGUUUGUUUGAUAUAAUCUCUUACAAGGAUAUGAUCUUCUGUGGUUUGACACACACCUCCUGGGAAUUCUGUCACCACUCCUUAGCCCAAUAAAUGUGGGCAGGAGUUUCAAAUCCUGGAACUUUAAAAGCUUUUUUGGAUAGUUCUUGGCUGCUACGUUGAUCAACAUACCCAGGAAAAGUGUACAAGUAAAUCAGGGCUGUGGAAGUGAUCCCUUGGAUAAGGUUAGAAGAGAACAGAAGAGAAUUCAGAGGAUUGCCAUUUGGACAGAAAUCAUGUUCUUGUAAUACCAUGCAAUUUUAAUACUGAAGGCUAGCGUAAUAAAUCAUUCCAUAAAUCCAUUAUUAAUUAUCAACCCAUUAUCUACAGUUCAAUCUGAAUUCUGCUCGGUAAUAUAACUGCAGAGUAGGUGAGCUAAAUAUAAGGCAUUCUGAGAUAAAUUGAAGGAAUUCAAAGCAGCACCUGUGGCUGUGUAUUUAGCUGCUGUUUUCUAACCCUGUUUUCCACUACACUUGAGACUGGACUACUACUUGAAAUAGGAAGGUCAGAGUUUGCAAACAAUCUUGAAUAUGAUUUUUUAAAAUGUAACUCCUUAUGGGGUUUAGAGAGUAUGGCCCCUUUAAAUCUUUGUCUUGAUUGUUCCAGGAAGAGGAAGUGCUGUUGGGGGGGGGGGAGCUUGAGAGAGAAGGGAUACAGCAAGCAAGGGCUCACAGACUGAAGCAGGCAAGAACCUGCCUCAAGCUUGGGAGGGACAGAGCCGCUGAUUGGGGACACGCCAGAACUGGAGCCCGGAGGAGCACUGUGCCAGGGAAGAAUGUCGCGGAACUGAACCCAGUAUCACUGCUGCCCAGAACUGUAUGGGGCCAUAAGUGCUGGGGCUUGUGACUUUGCAUUGAGAAUAAGGGGGAGGCUGUAACUGGUUAAGAAGGGAGGUUGUCAUUCUGUGUGGCUUUGCAGAGAGCGGCAGAAGAGGCCACUGAAGGGGUUUGUUGGGAAAAGUUUACUGGCACUGAAGACAACCAGGAGCGCCCAAGACACAGCGCUGGACUGGAACUUUGCCAGGACUCCUGAACUCUGAGUGCAGAUGCAUUGCUUGGUGUCAGCCCUUUGAGAAUGUGGUAUCCCUGGACCUGUGGGGCCUUGUGUUGAAUGAAGCCUGUUUGACCGCUCCCCCUAUCUUUCCCCCUGCUGUUUUUCUCCUUUCAUCUCUCUGCAAAUAAAUAUUUCCCUUUCCUUUA
Molecule: long non-coding RNA, 1307 nt
Organism: Chelonia mydas (Green sea turtle)
Lineage: Eukaryota; Metazoa; Chordata; Testudines; Cheloniidae
Exons: 2
Source: RefSeq, a predicted model, not a curated record